UGAGGCAGGAGAAUUGCUUGAACCCAGGAGGUGGAGGUUGCAGUGAGCCGAGAUCGCGCCACUGCACUCCAGCCUGGUGACACAGCGAGACUCCAUCUCA
MicroRNA precursor from Cercocebus atys (sooty mangabey), 100 nucleotides. The record is from Ensembl. Lineage: Eukaryota; Metazoa; Chordata; Mammalia; Primates; Cercopithecidae.